CCUUGUUCAGCAAUUGUGCCUGUGGAGGGUCCCCCAACACUCACCGUGCACCUCCUAGGAGCGGAGGCUACAAAAGGGAGCCAGAGACCAAGCUCUGCUCAGACAACAGUGAGCUGAUGGCCUUCCACUCUAAGUUCAACAGGGACCCAGGGACCAACUCUGCUCAGACAAUAGUGAGCAGAUGGCCUUCCACUCUAAGUUCAACAGGGACCCAGGGACAAAGUUCUGCUGAGACAACAGUGAACUGAUGGCCUUCCACUCUAAGUUCCAACUGCAUGGAAUGUGUAUUCCAUGAAUGCUUGUUAAAUGAAUGAUUCAUAUAAGGUCAUCUGUGCUGACCUUUGCUGGUCUGCUGAAUGUGAGCUUCAGAGCAUAGGCCUCAUUCCUGGAGCAGCCAGCUCUUCCCAGAGCGACGGCCGCUGCAGGGCAAAGCCCAGAGCUUGUCCUGCAGCAACACACUCAGGACCCUGCGCUGGGCACGCUGGGGGCCUCUCCAGCAGAAGAUCCCCAGCCCGGACCGUGCAAUACCAGUGAACCCCAGGGGAGUCCCAAGUGCUCAAAAUCAUGUAAAUGUCCAUUGUGAUUUAACAUAUCAAUUUUAGAAGAAAGGGCAUAUUGCCACCUCUCUCCUCAAACUAGGGACUAUAAAUCGAUCCAUCACCCUAACUGAGACUCUGCCUUAAAUUCUGCUAAAACUACCAUCCAAACACUCAAAUUUACAUUAGCGUUAAGGGAAAAAAAAAACUAAACCAAACACCUGUAAGAAACGGUCAAGUAACCUGUGAUACAUCAACCCAAAGAUUAAACAUGAAAACAAUGAAGUAGCAAGAUAUUAAAAGAAUAUAAACUCUAUGUACAUCAUGGUCCAAGGUUCUAAAAUUACACAGAAACAAAGACUGGAAUGGAAGGGGGAUACGUUUACAGACACAUUUUUUAUUUUUUAAUUUUUAAUAUUGCUUCUCUAAUGUAUGAUUUGACUAACCAGAUAAUUCAGCAAAAAAUAAAAAAAUAAAUUGUGCCUAUAGAUAAAUAUGUAAAGAAUCCUUUUCUUUGAUGCCAAUGGAAUUAGUUUGGGUCUGACCCACAGUCUUCAAUCUUUUAAUUAAGACACAAAAAUCAUCUUUCAAGCUGUUAGGAAAAAAAGAAGAAAAAGAUUGAAAACCAGGAGCCCAGAAAAAAAGGACUCGCUAUGUAUCACAGCGUCUCUCCACGCCUCUCCACCAAGGACAGUGCUCCUCUUCCCCAUUUUCAUACCUACCGCACAAAACACUUAGUAAAGAACUAUCUCAAUUCAUGAGUCACACAGCACAAAGGGCCAGUGUCUCUGCCAAACAUACCCUGCAGCCCCAAAACGAAGAGGUAAUUGGUUCCUUCCUUCCCCAGUGAAGGAAGAAUGAGAGGCUGCUGGUUGUCAUUUUAAAUCUCACACCUCAAUGUCUUAGCACUUUCCUGCUUUGUUGGUUUCCAGGGCUUAUUAAAAUUAACCACCCCCCCCCCCCCGCGGAUAUUGAAGAAAGAAAGCAGGAAGGUUGUGCAGGCUUCCAAGAGGCAGAGCCCUGCUUCCGCAGCCACCUCUGUCUUUCUACCCACAGCAGCCGGGUUUACCAAUUAGUCUCCCUUAAAGAGCAGUUUAUGCUCAUCGCGAACAAAUGGAUGCAAUUGCUUCUUUUGAGAUGCAGCAAGUUUUGGGCCCUCAGCAAAAA
This 1703-nucleotide long non-coding RNA is filed under the name Macaca fascicularis (crab-eating macaque). RNAcentral describes it as "lncRNA (ENSMFAG00000064613.1)". The record is from RNAcentral. Lineage: Eukaryota; Metazoa; Chordata; Mammalia; Primates; Cercopithecidae.